This is a long non-coding RNA of Xiphophorus couchianus (Monterrey platyfish), 203 nucleotides long. RefSeq lists it as uncharacterized. The transcript has 3 exons. Lineage: Eukaryota; Metazoa; Chordata; Actinopteri; Cyprinodontiformes; Poeciliidae. The record is from RefSeq and is a predicted model, not a curated record.
CCAUGGCAACUCCACCAGUCAGGAGGAGGCAGAUAAAGGAACCCAGUUGAAAAAAUAAAAACCUAAUCAGAAGAUCUGUUCCACCUCCUGAUCUACUGGUUAUAGUACAUUGUGGGAAUGCAUGACUGAGACAAGACGACAGCACUGGGCCAACGAGGAGAGAGAAGACACAUUAACAUUCAAUAAACUGUUCAAACUUCUCA